Molecule: small RNA, 283 nt
Organism: Cobetia sp.
Lineage: Bacteria; Pseudomonadati; Pseudomonadota; Gammaproteobacteria; Oceanospirillales; Halomonadaceae
Rfam family: 5' ureB small RNA
Source: Rfam
UCCUCCACCUGCUGGGGGCAGAUGAAGUGGAUGUGCGGGUCGACACCACCGGCGGUGAGAAUCUUGCCCUCACCGGCGAUGAUCUCGGUGCCCGGGCCGAUCACGAUAUCCACAUCGGGCUGGGUGUCGGGGUUGCCCGCCUUGCCGAUGGCCGCGAUGCGUCCGGCCUUGAGACCGACAUCCGCCUUGACGAUGCCCCACCAGUCCAGAAUCAGCGCAUUGGUGAUCACGGUAUCCAUCACGCUGUCGUCGGCGCGCUGGCUCUGGCCCAUGCCGUCGCGGA